Caenorhabditis elegans is the source of this 21-nucleotide non-coding RNA. NCBI's taxonomy places the organism in Eukaryota, Metazoa, Nematoda, Chromadorea, Rhabditida, Rhabditidae. The record is from Ensembl.
UAUGAACUUAGGUACAACCAA